AUUGAACGCUGGCGGCAUGCCUUACACAUGCAAGUCGAACGGUAACGGGCCUUCGGGUGCCGACGAGUGGCGAACGGGUGAGUAAUGCAUCGGAACGUACCUUUCAGUGGGGGAUAACGUAGCGAAAGUUACGCUAAUACCGCAUAUUCUGUGAGCAGGAAAGCAGGGGAUCGCAAGACCUUGCGCUGAUUGAGCGGCCGAUGUCAGAUUAGCUAGUUGGUGAGGUAAAGGCUCACCAAGGCGACGAUCUGUAGCGGGUCUGAGAGGAUGAUCCGCCACACUGGAACUGAGACACGGUCCAGACUCCUACGGAGGCAGCAGUGGGGAAUUUUGGACAAUGGGGGCAACCCUGAUCCAGCCAUGCCGCGUGAGUGAAGAAGGCCUUCGGGUUGUAAAGACUCUUUCUAGACGGAAAGAAAACGGACAUCGGUGAAUAACCCGGUGUGGAGUGACGGUACCGUAAGAAGAAGCACCGGCUAACUACGUGCCACGCAGCCGCGGUAACGG
Molecule: ribosomal RNA, 507 nt
Filed under: uncultured bacterium
Lineage: Bacteria
Description: bacterial SSU rRNA
Rfam family: Bacterial small subunit ribosomal RNA
Source: RNAcentral